Intoshia linei is the source of this 84-nucleotide transfer RNA. It matches the Rfam family "tRNA". Rfam says of the family: Transfer RNA (tRNA) molecules are approximately 80 nucleotides in length. Their secondary structure includes four short double-helical elements and three loops (D, anti-codon, and T loops). Lineage: Eukaryota; Metazoa; Orthonectida; Rhopaluridae. The record is from Rfam.
GUCAGGAUGGCCGAGUGGUCCAAGGCGGCAGACUUAAGCUCUGCUCCACGAAUGUGGGCGUGGGUUCGAACCCCACUUCUGACA